UGAGGAAUAUUGGGCAAUGCCCGCAAGGGUGACCCAGCAACGCCGCGUGGAGGAUGAAUGUCGUAAGAUUGUAAACUCCUGUUAGAGGGGAAGAAUAGUACCGGUUGGACCGGUAUAUGACUGUACCCCCAGAGAAAGCCCCGGCUAACUACGUGCCAGCAGCCGCGGUAAUACGUAGGGGGCAAGCGUUGUCCGGAUUUACUGGUGGUAAAGGGCGCGCAGGCGGGAUAAAAAGUCAGUGGUGAAAUCCUACAGCUUAACUGUAGAACUGCCUUUGAUACUUUUAUUCUUGAGUUCGGGAGAGAGAGACGGAAUUCCAGGUGUAGUGGUGAAAUACGUAGAUAUCUGGAAGAACACCAGUUGCGAAGGCGGUCUCUUGGUCCGACACUGACGCUGAGGCGCGAAAGCGUGGGGAGCAAACA
RNAcentral lists this ribosomal RNA (422 nucleotides) under uncultured bacterium. Its description in RNAcentral is "bacterial SSU rRNA". It matches the Rfam family "Bacterial small subunit ribosomal RNA", at positions 355 to 774 of the family's 1533-position model. The record is from RNAcentral.